UGCGUAGGCGGCGCGGUAAGUCGGGUGUGAAAUCUCGGAGCUUAACUCCGAAACUGCAUUCGAUACUGCCGUGCUGGAGGACUGGAGAGGAGACUGGAAUUUACGGUGUAGCGGUGAAAUGCGUAGAUAUCGUAAGGAAGACCAGUGGCGAAGGCGGGUCUCUGGACAGUUCCUGACGCUGAGGCACGAAGGGUCAGGGAAGGCAAACG
RNAcentral lists this ribosomal RNA (209 nucleotides) under uncultured bacterium. RNAcentral's name for it is "partial 16S ribosomal RNA". It matches the Rfam family "Bacterial small subunit ribosomal RNA", at positions 568 to 774 of the family's 1533-position model. The record is from RNAcentral.